UCUAAUAUGGCAGAUAAGUGCACUGGAGUUAAGUUCCAUAAAUAAAGAGGAGUCUUUUAUUAGAA
This 65-nucleotide transfer RNA is filed under the name Nauphoeta cinerea (gray cockroach). RNAcentral describes it as "tRNA-Leu". The record is from RNAcentral. Lineage: Eukaryota; Metazoa; Arthropoda; Insecta; Blattodea; Blaberidae.